Non-coding RNA from Heterocephalus glaber (naked mole-rat), 6039 nucleotides. NCBI's taxonomy places the organism in Eukaryota, Metazoa, Chordata, Mammalia, Rodentia, Bathyergidae. The record is from RefSeq and is a predicted model, not a curated record.
CUGUAUGACCCUUGGAGAGCUCAGCUGGAGGGCAGACCCAGGAUCAGAGGCCCUGGAAGGGCUUGUUUUUGACUAAUUGUGUUUUACAGAUGAAGUGGAUUACAAAGAAAUAACAAAGAAAAGCUGUCUUUGCUGGGAAAACGCCUGUUCACUAGUCAUUUACAAAUUCUUCUUCAUACAGAUGGAGUCUCCCCUAGCCCAGGUGCUCGGGACCCGGAGUGUUGUCUGACUUUGGAGGAUUUGUAAGCACAUGUAAGAUAUCUUGGUGACAGGGCCCAAAUUUAAACACAAAACUCAUUUAUGUGCUAUAUAUUUUAUACAGAAUCUUGGGGUGAGUUUAUACAAUAUUUUCCAUAGAUCAGUGCAGGAAUCAAGAUUUUAUGAUGCAGAGAUUUCUGCUCGGUGUCAUUUUGGUGUUCGAGAGUUCUGGCUUUGGAGCUUUUCAGAUUUGGGGUUUUUGUAUCAGGGAUGUCAACCUGUAUGGCCUUUGUUUCAGCAGAACUUUGGUGAGAAGAAACAUUGACGUUUAGACCUCAGUCAUUUGAAUUACAAUGAGCUGCUUCCAACUGUUUCGGAGAUUGUGAUUAGUGUUGGCCGUCAAAGGCUUCAGAGGAUAGCUGUGCAGCGUCGGUUCUGGGAAGGUGCUAUGGAUACCGUCACAGUUUGUUCAAGGUGAGGCUCCUGAAAGCCACUUCUAGAAGCAGCUCUGCUGGGUUGCGCUCAUCCCUCUUGCCCUGGGGCUGGGUGCGAGCCUGGCAGGGCUGCAGCUGGGGCUGUGGUUGACGUUGGCACCAGACAGUGGCGUGUGAGGGAGCUCGAGGUUCUCUGGGAGAAUCCUGGUGUCGUUGCCAUCGCAUCCCCAACCUCAGACAAUGGAGGAGGUGGUGGUGAACGACGCCCAGUCAGUGGGUGCCCACCGUGCAGCAGGCACAGCUCCAGGCUCCGAGGACCCAGCACUGGAGAACAGAAACAGAAAUCCCUGCCCUCGCGGACCUCAUGUCCUUGGAGCAUGGGCGGUACAGACGGCCCCUCGGAGCUGAAGCCUGGCGGCUCCAUUAGGGAAUAUUUGUGGUCUGGCACUUCGCUGUCCGCCGCUGGACCCAGGACCCCCAGGAAGGAGCUCUGCACUUGUGCGUUCCCCCUCAGCCUCCUGCACUCCUCUCUGAGUCGAGUCUAAGAGAUUUUAGGCGAGGAGAAGCCCAUGGGGCAGGUGCCUGCUGAGGGUGGCAGGGUGGCCCAGGCACCUCAUCCCUGGGAUUCCGCCCAGAAAACUACAGGCAGAGGGGAAGAACUCGUGGUGGUUUGCACAGAGGCAGAAACCCUGGAAGGAGGAGUAGGAAGGCUGCAGGCCUUCUCCUCAGCAAGCAGGAGUGUAACUGGUGAAGGCUCUAUAGAAGGAAAAAGUAACCCAACCAUUACGGAGAGUGGAGCAGAGGUCACGGGAGGUUAGGAAGGGAAAGGAGGGGCUGGAGCCCAGCCUCCAAAACAUGGUCACACGGGAAGGGCAAGUCCCAGUGUCUUCCGGUGCAGUUGGGAGACUGGAGUUCAACAUUUACUGUGUGUUUUGUGCAUUCAAAGCUCCCAACACGGCGGAGUGACAGCAGUCAGUUCUCGGAGGUGAAGGAUAAUCACCCUUUGCUCACUGUGCACUUGUGUCAAACUGUCACACUGCACCGGAAGUUUUGUUUGUUGUGUUUUGGUACUGGGGAUCGAACUCGGGUUCUUGCGCUUGCGCAGCAAGCGGCGAAACCACUGCGCUAAAUCCCCAGGCCGUGCACCAGAAGGAACAGGGACAGUUAGCCAACUUCUGAGGUGGACGAAGAUUAUGUAACACGAAGAACAGAAAGGAAAAGAAUAAAGAAAAACGAGUAGGACCUCAGAGGAAGGCGGACGCCAGCACCCCGUGCCCCUGCUCAUGAAAGGACGCAGAGCUUUCUCGGGGAACAGCUAAACCGGGUUAUUUUACCUGCUCUAGGGGUUGUAAUUUACCUCAACAUGUCUUUCAACUUUUUAAAUUAAGAACCACAAUGAAUAAAACAUUUAACAUUGCAAUAAUCUAGCGUCUACGCGCAUGUGCAUCAGAAACAGGAAUUUUGUGAAAUAACGCUUUUUAAAAAAAUAUACUUUGAUCUAAAAUUCUUUCUUUGUAAUGUUAUUUGUGUCUAUGGUCACAGUCCCCUGAAAGGACCUCAUGGCCCUCUACUGGGUGGCCUGCUGGUGAAAACCCUCGCUAGAGGGCACUGCUGCCCCCUUGCCAGCGAGUGAAGCGGCUGCCUCGCCCAGUGGUUCUUGUUAUCUUGUCUCCAUCAUCAGCCCUUCAUGCCGCCUGAUUUGCGCGAGAGCCAUUCAGUGUUCAUCAGUCCCAGCAGUCAGUGAAAUCGGAAAGCUGUUGAGUGUUGGGUGCUAGCUGCAGGAUGAUACAUGCUACGAAGUGACAUACCCGGAAAUGGGACAGGGGUUUGAGGUAUGGACUUGAGUCAGGAUCUGAAAGAGAGGAGAACGAGCCGUGGACAUUUGUUGGGGAAGAGCCUUGAUGGCAGAGGAAGACACAGGUCCAAAGGCCCUGAGGUGGGCCACGCCUAGAAAGUUCAAGGUCAGCAAGAAGGACUGACUGGCUGGGGUGGGUUGAGCAGAGGAAAACAGUAAGAGAGGUCGGAGAGAGAGACAGCAGGAUCCGAUGGGAUGGAGCCCGCUUGCCCACUGCAAGACUUUGGCUUCCACUGGGUGGAAGGUGAGACGCUGUUGGAGGGUUCCGAGAGCGUGGGGCUCUGGGCUGACUCACAUCCAACCAGACGGUGCUGGCUGCCGUGCGGAGCCCGGGCCGAAGGGGCGAAGACAGCUCAUCUGGGAAGCGAGCCGUGCAGGCGAGGCGCUGGGGAGCAGCUCUGUUCUGCAGGUGGAACUGACUGGAGGGGUGAACUAAUGCGGCGCAGCCAGGAUGUGAGCCCGAGACCACGGUGCAGGGGCUCUCAGACGCCGUUCCGUGGUGAUCGCAGAGUUGAGGCUGAGAGAGACAUUUGCAUUUAAAGUAGAAGCCCGAGAUCUGGGGCCCACGAAGGAAACUCAUCAAGGCUGUGAACCUGGCAGGGGAGGGGCUGGGGCAGACGUGCCCAGCCAACAGCUCGGUCCCGCUGCCCUGCUGUGCCGCAGACCUCUCGCCCCUGAGCACGCUGUGCUGGCCAAGUGCGAUCUCCGGCUGCUUGAGACACCCUGGACAGCCGUGCUCUCCAUCUCUCUUCUUGUUUCACCUGAGCACGGACAAACCGCUAGGGAAAACUGGGUAUGUCGCCUGCCUUGCUUUGGAGCAGAGGGACAUCUCCUCUGGCUUUCUGUCCAGUCUGCUCACCUCUGGGCCCCAGGAGCAAACUGUUCCCUGGGCUGCAGGCAGGGGUCCGGGAGCCCCCCAACACGUGCUGACGUCGCCCCCUGGUGUCCUACUUCUGCCUGACCCUUUCCAGCUCCUCUGGCCCCACAUCUGAUCCCCAGAAGCCAGGUAACCUUAGUUCUUUCUGACUCAGCAAGAUGUACCUGGAAGGGGCAGAUGGAAGGCUGCGCCCUAGUUUCGGGUUCCGGACAGUCUGGUUUCGCUGGUACUUUGGACACUUCCUGUACAUUCGUGCUCUGAAGAGUCUGUCUUCACUCAGCCAGCAGACCUCCGUGAGUCCUUCCAGGAAUUCAGACGACAAGAUGAGGCCUCCCUGUGUGUCCUGAGAAAUGUGAAAUGCUAAGCAGAACACGAAAUCCAGUGGUGGAAGGCGCUGUAAAGGAAACCACAGGUUCCAGUUCUCAGGUUCUGCCGGGCAAUGUGCUUUCCUGUGGUGUCCAUUUACAUGGAAGAGAUUAGAGGAAGGGGCCUCCCUGGGCCAAGGGUCCCUGCUGCUCCUCUGCCUGCUGCGGCUGCUCCUGGAAUUCCCAGCCCACAGACUACAACCGGACCCUCCUGGUUACCAUGCAAGCCUUGCACUGGGCAAAAGACUUUCAGCCCAAAUACCCAGACCUUCCUUUUCAUCUUUAUUUUUAAAAUUGACUUUGCUGACUUUGGCAAACUCCCCUUAUAACACUUAGUGCAUUUACAAGUAAUAGAAUGAGUUGGGAAUGCAGAGCAAGUGUUUCCUGAUGAUAUGGUCGGGCUCCAUUGUUUACCAUUUCUCCACAACAAGAGGCCGGGCAGUGUUUUGCACACCGGGUGUUCUUUCAAUAACAUGUUUGGCCGACUGAGUCAGUGGCGCAUGGAGAGCAGUGUUGCCUGGGUGUGGGUCUACACACUGACAUAUUCUUCAUGGGCUGAGGUGGUUUACACACCACAUCGGGCUGUUUACAGUCAGUAUAAUGAACAUUGCAAAGUGUAAAGAGAUUAGUAUGAGUAUUUUAAAAGCAAGCUAAAAUGCAUUUUAUCGGAAUGACAGGCAGAAAAUUUAAAACAAUAAAAUAAAACGAGAUAGAAUCAUAUUUUUGGGAGCCAGUGAAACUAUUUUGCUUGUUGUUAUUAGUAAAAUAGCAAGCAGUGUGUGGAGUCCAGCCUUCCUCCGGAAUAGUGAGUCCAGAGGAGGUGAUUUGCUAUGCCAAGAUGCAGAAAAACUUGAAGAAGCAGCCAAACUCAAAGUAUUUUGAAGGCUUACAAUGAUUUCAUAGAUGGGAACUUUUUUCAUUGCACUGAUCAGCUUUCCUGUCUUUUGGAUAAAACACCUGACACUUAAAAGGCAGAGAGGUUUACUCAGGCUCGUGGUCGCAGAGGUUUCAGACUAAGGGUGGCUCCAAGGCAGAAACAUCACGGUGGAAGGGUGUGGUGGAGCCAGGCAGCUGGGAAGCUGGGGGAGCACACCAGAGGGAGAGGCCAGGGACCACAUGCAGCUCCCAAGCUCAUGGCUCCCCAUGGGCUGGAGUGUGCUUUACUAAUCGACGUAGGAGCGGUUAAGCAAAUCAAGCUGAUGAUCAAGAUUAACUGUCGCACUCUCUAAGCUGAUCACAGAGACUCCAACCAAGAAAAUCCAUUAGGAAAUAGUUAAGGGAAAUACAGACUCAGACCUGCUUUGAGAGUUUAGUGACUCUCCGUUCAUUACAGCUUCACCGAGUGUUUUUAACCAUGUCUUUGAAUUUGAGCAGAAACUUUUAUUUUAAAAUAAUUUCACACUUCCUAAAGAGUUGUUAAAAAAAGUAGAGAAUUUUCCAGUAUACUUUUCAUUCAAUUUCUCCUAAUGUUAACACCUGACACAUCCAUAUUAUAAUGCUCAAAACCAGGAAACAAACAUCAACUCAAACUACUAACUAAAGAACAGGGCCUACAUGGUAUUCUAUUGAUGCCUUGCCCAUUCCAUGUUGCAGUCUGAAGCCUCAUCUUGCAGUUAGUCACUGUGUGUCGCCACCGUCGUUCCCCUUGCAGAAACCUUUAAUAAUGACAAUGACAGUAACUAUGCCUUGCAUUCCCUCUGUCCUCCACAGGCUUAGAUCUCAUCCCAGAGAUGUAGGCGUGCACCUCACAGUGCUGCAUCUAAGAAGUCGAAACCCCAGCAGGUGACUUCUCUGGCAUGAGGUUCUCUGCUAGCUUCCCUGUGUCCCUGGGGCUUGUCAGCACCCGGAGAAGAGUGGGCACUCUGGUUGGGUGUGGUUUGUGUGUGCUGGAACUGGGUUGCUGGGUGGUGUGUGAGGCAGUGGAAGAUAAUCAGGUCUUUGGAAUGGAUUGAUGCUGGUCUCCGGGAGUGAACUGGGUCCCACAGAAGUGAGCCUACAAGGACAAGUGCUUCUGAAAUGCCUGUCACUUCCUGUGUCACCUUGGAACUCCUUGUAGCUGCCUUCUCCCCUGUAAUUGUGGGCCCCCCUGCCAACCGCCAUGUUGGUCCUCACCAGAGUGGAGUAGAGGCCAGCACCAUCCAGUGAGCUGAACAAACCUCUUUAGUUGAUACACUGUUGCUAUAGCAACAGAGAAAGGAAUAAGACGGAGUUCUCCAAUUUGUGAAGUUAUUCAAUAUCAGAAUAAUUCCAGUCUAUACUUCAUACAGAGAUUGACAAAUAAAUAUGCCAGGAAAUAAAUAGCUGCACUUC